This 76-nucleotide transfer RNA is filed under the name Salmonella enterica subsp. enterica. RNAcentral describes it as "tRNA-Thr". It matches the Rfam family "tRNA". From Rfam's summary of the family: Transfer RNA (tRNA) molecules are approximately 80 nucleotides in length. Their secondary structure includes four short double-helical elements and three loops (D, anti-codon, and T loops). The record is from RNAcentral. Lineage: Bacteria; Pseudomonadati; Pseudomonadota; Gammaproteobacteria; Enterobacterales; Enterobacteriaceae.
GCUGAUAUAGCCUUUCAGUUGGUAGAGCGCACCCCUGGUAAGGGUGACGGCAGUUCGAAUUCGCCUAUCAGCACCA